This 163-nucleotide small nuclear RNA is filed under the name Dasypus novemcinctus (nine-banded armadillo). RNAcentral's name for it is "U1 spliceosomal RNA (ENSDNOG00000028112.1)". It matches the Rfam family "U1 spliceosomal RNA". Rfam says of the family: U1 is a small nuclear RNA (snRNA) component of the spliceosome (involved in pre-mRNA splicing). The record is from RNAcentral. Lineage: Eukaryota; Metazoa; Chordata; Mammalia; Cingulata; Dasypodidae.
CAACUUGUGAUGAGGGGAGAUACCAUGACCAGGAAGGUGGUUUUCCCAGGACAGGGCUUAUCCCCUGUGCUCCGGAUGUGCUGACCCCUGUGAUUUCCCCAAAUGUGGGACACUUGGCUGCAUAAUUAGGGAUAAUGAGGAACUGCCUUCAUGUUUCCCCUUG